UACCUGAUUGAUUCUGUCAGCGCGAUAUGCUCAAGUAAAAGAUUAAGCCAUGCAUGCUUUGAUUCAUAAAUGAAAUUGCGUACGGCUCAUUAGAGCAGAUAUCACCUUUCUCGGAAUCCUGAAAAGGAUAACUGCGGAAAUUCUGGAGCUAAUACAUGCGACUAUACUCCAACGCAAAGACGGGGUGCAAUUAUUAGAACAGACCAAACGUUUUCGGACGUUGUUUGUUGACUCUGAAUACCGUCGUUUACUGUCAGUUUCGACUGACUCUAUCCGAGAAGGGUGUCUGCCCUUUCAACUAGAUGGUAAUCUAUUGGACUACCAUGGUUGUUACGGGUAACGGAGAAUUAGGGUUCGACUCCGGAGAGGGAGCCUUAGAAACGGCUACCACGUCCAAGGAAGGCAGCAGGCGCGAAACUUAUCCACUGUUGAGUAUGAGAUAGUGACUAAAAAUAUAAAGACUCAUCCUUUUGGAUGAGUUAUUUCAAUGAGUUGAAUAUAAAUUAUUCUUCGAGUAGCAAGGAGAGGGCAAGUCUGGUGCCAGCAGCCGCGGUAAUUCCAGCUCUCCUAGUGUAUCUCGUUAUUGCUGCGGUUAAAAAGCUCGUAGUUGGAUCUAGGUUACGUGCCGCAGUUCGCAAUUUGCGUUAACUGUGGUCGUGACUUCUAAUUUGCUGGUUUGAGGUUGGGUUCGCCCUUCAACUGCCAGCAGGUUUACCUUGAAUAAAUCAGAGUGCUCAAUACAGGCGCUUGCUUGAAUAGCUCAUCAUGGAAUAAUGAAACAGGACUUCGGUUCUUUUUGUUGGUUCUAGAAUUGAUCUAAUGGUUAAGAGGGACAAAC
Molecule: non-coding RNA, 838 nt
Filed under: Caenorhabditis japonica
Lineage: Eukaryota; Metazoa; Nematoda; Chromadorea; Rhabditida; Rhabditidae
Description: Eukaryotic small subunit ribosomal RNA
Rfam family: Eukaryotic small subunit ribosomal RNA
Source: Rfam by way of RNAcentral